GCGCCCUGCCUCUCAGCUCCACUCUCAGAAACUCCUACCGCCCGUCGGAAGAGGGAAGCAAUACUCUCGUGUCAGCGUUACAAGGAGCCAGUGGAAGAGGUGCUGUCACAUCUGGUGACUCCCACAUGUGUCAGCAGUGACCUACUGACAGAUAGAACGAAAAGCUCAGCAGCGCUGGUUUAAGAAGACAGAUUGGGGAGAUUGAGCGGGCAUGGGGACAGUCAACAGUUUAACUCAGAUUUCACUUUCUUGAUGGAUGCAAGAAGGUUCACUUGAGGCGGAAUUCAGCUUUUAAAAUGCUAAAAGGUUUAUAAAUGAAGGGAAAUAACUAUGCAACGAACACAAAUGCCAGAAACGGCAACUAAUUCUCGGCUGAUCAAUUUCAUCAACUUGAACUGGACAAAUAUCAAUUCAAGAACAGAUUGUAAAUCAGAGGAAUGGAUUCAAAUGAUAAAUGACUUCACGAUUUAUUGGAAACACAAGUGAUUCACCAAUGAAAUGUAACUACUCAGAAAUCAAGCUCAACCCAUGGUGCUAAUGUCAAUCUGAACGCAAUCCUUAUCAUCCUCAGUAGUUAUAUGGUUAAUAGGCGUAAAAUUGUGGUUUGAAGUUGUGGCUUCAAUAUAAGGUGAAAGGAAAAGGGUCAUAUAACCUGUUUUGCUGACUGUGGUCCUCGGUGGUUUGAUUGGUAGAGAUUAGAGGUAGUCCAGACUGUUUUUCUGAGAAUACGAGUUACAAGGUGUUUAACCAAAAAAAAUCAACAUUUAUGACACAAUUCUGGAAGGAGUGUGACUUGAACCCACGUCUGCUGGAGCGGAAAUAGGGACACUGCUACUAUACCACACGAUGCUGAGGUGCAAGGUGUUUUUUUCGAUUAUAUCCAAAAGCGCUUUUAGAUGCAAAUGAAUGUCUUUUUUUUUCUGUCACCAAAUCACUCAUGGUUAGGGUUACAAGGUGUUUACGCUUGGAGACAUGGCAGUCAUCCAUUUGCUUAAUUAGGGCUGGUCGAUGAGUGCCCAAAUUCCCAAGAAAGUGUUUGGAAUAUCACGUUGUAAGCAAUUGUGCUUAAAACUGUCUACAGAUGUCUGCCGCUAUCCAAAAGUACAGCGUUCCUGUGAAACCUUUCAUAAGCCAAAAUAGUGUAAAGUGAAGAAGCAAUUACCAUUAAUUUAUAGGGAAAAAACUUUGAGUGUUCCCAGACCCAAAACAUAACCUUCCAAAUCAUACCAAAUAACACACAAAACCUAAAGUAACACUAAUAUAUAGUAACAGCGGGAAUGAUAUGAUAAAUACUCAAUAUAUAUAAAGUAGAAAUAAUAUAUGUACAGUGUAGUUUCACUCACCAGAAUCGGGAAGACAAUGAGCACACUAAAAGGCUGAGGGGUGGUGGUGGCGGUAAUGGUAUGUUAGGCAGAGUUGUCAGAGAUUGGGGGGUAGAAGAAGGAGGAAGAGGAUGAUCUAUUAACAUUUCCAGGGAAUGCAUUUGUCAGCGCCACUCUCGGUGCACACACUUUUCCAUAGAAGCGAAAAUCCUCUUUCGGUUAGCAAAAACAGGUACAAGUAAACAACUCUUUAUCCGAAAUCCUGAAAUCCCAGAAGCUGUGAAAUCUGAAGGUUUGUUCGUGAAGUUUUUUUUCUCAUUAGCAAGAUUGUUUCUCGUGCAAACAGUUAACCCAACU
This is a non-coding RNA of Chiloscyllium plagiosum (whitespotted bambooshark), 1679 nucleotides long. The record is from RefSeq and is a predicted model, not a curated record. NCBI's taxonomy places the organism in Eukaryota, Metazoa, Chordata, Chondrichthyes, Orectolobiformes, Hemiscylliidae.